CAUCCUCCAAGGCUAAAUACUCCUGACUGACCGAUAGUGAACCAGUACCGUGAGGGAAAGGCGAAAAGAACCCCGGCGAGGGGAGUGAAAAAGAACCUGAAACCGUGUACGUACAAGCAGUGGGAGCACCCUUUCGGGUGUGACUGCGUACCUUUUGUAUAAUGGGUCAGCGACUUAUAUUCUGUAGCAAGGUUAACCGUAUAGGGGAGCCGGAGGGAAACCGAGUCUUAAUUGGGCGUUAAGUUGCAGGGUAUAGACCCGAAACCCGGUGAUCUAGCCAUGGGCAGGUUGAAGGUUGGGUAACACUAACUGGAGGACCGAACCGACUAAUGUUGAAAAAUUAGCGGAUGACCUGUGGCUGGGGGUGAAAGGCCAAUCAAACCGGGAGAUAGCUGGUUCUCCCCGAAAGCUAUUUAGGUAGCGCCUCGUGAAUUCAUCUCCGGGGGUAGAGCACUGUUUCGGCUAGGGGGCCAUCCCGGCUUACCAACCCGAUGCAAACUGCGAAUACCGGAGAAUGUUAUCACGGGAGACACACGGCGGGUGCUAACGUCCGUCGUGAAGAGGGAAACAACCCAGACCGCCAGCUAAGGUCCCAAAGUCAUGGUUAAGUGGGAAACGAUGUGGGAAGGCCCAGACAGCCAGGAUGUUGGCUUAGAAGCAGCCAUCAUUUAAAGAAAGCGUAAUAGCUCACUGGUCGAGUCGGCCUGCGCGGAAGAUGUAACGGGGCUAAACCAUGCACCGAAGCUGCGGCAGCGACGCUUAUGCGUUGUUGGGUAGGGGAGCGUUCUGUAAGCCUGCGAAGGUGGCCUGUGAGGGUUGCUGGAGGUAUCAGAAGUGCGAAUGCUGACAUAAGUAACGAUAAAGCGGGUGAAAAGCCCGCUCGCCGGAAGACCAAGGGUUCCUGUCCAACGUUAAUCGGGGCAGG
This 925-nucleotide ribosomal RNA is filed under the name Salmonella enterica subsp. enterica serovar Braenderup. RNAcentral's name for it is "bacterial LSU rRNA". It matches the Rfam family "Bacterial large subunit ribosomal RNA", at positions 454 to 1378 of the family's 2925-position model. Lineage: Bacteria; Pseudomonadati; Pseudomonadota; Gammaproteobacteria; Enterobacterales; Enterobacteriaceae. The record is from RNAcentral.